Molecule: small nuclear RNA, 154 nt
Filed under: Lynx canadensis (Canada lynx)
Lineage: Eukaryota; Metazoa; Chordata; Mammalia; Carnivora; Felidae
Description: U4 spliceosomal RNA (ENSLCNG00005012838.1)
Rfam family: U4 spliceosomal RNA (bases 1-124)
About the family: U4 small nuclear RNA (U4 snRNA) is a component of the major U2-dependent spliceosome. The structure of U4 snRNA from yeast and human has been reported.
Source: RNAcentral
AGCUUUGCGCAGUGGCAGUAUCGUAGCCAAUGAGGUUUAUCCGAGGCGCGAUUAUUGCUAAUUGAUAUGUACAUAUCAAAAAGGAAAGGGUGACAUGAGAUUCUAAUUGUUAUAUAUCAAUGUAAACAAGCAUAUAAGCAUAGCUUAUCUAAGC